UGACUUAUCCGUUAUUUCUUUCUUUCAUGUGGCCAGUUUGGCUCUUAUUAACUGAAAACUUGAAUGUACUUGGCACAGUUCCAAACUGUGGCUUUCUUGAAGCCGCUUGAAAGGGGUGGGGGGUAUUUUUUUUUUUUUUUUUUUUUUUGCAAAAGCUCUAUAGGGGUGUAAGACGGAGGAAUAAAAGACAGAAAGAAAGAUGGCAGUAAUUGUAAUAUCCUGAGAUUUUUUUCGCUCAGCCAAAAAAUGUCGUGCCAUUGAGCAAGUUUCACAGGGCUGCCGCUGACUCGCUGCAGGACACAUAAAAUCUGAUCAAGUUCAGAGACGCGCUGAGUGCUUCAAGCGGCGCUUUUUAACUCCAAGCCUUUCACAUCCUUUCCCCCCUCAAUCUGUCCCAGGAAGGAGCUCACAUUCUUUAUUUUAGAGGGAUCUGGACCCAAAAAAAAAAAAAAAAGAAAAAGAAAGAAAAAAAAAAAAAUCUUCAAAUCAGUCCUCUUCAUUCUGCUUUCGCCCUCAUCCUCCAUUCACUCCAGAACAUUUCCUCGAGAAAGAGUUAUAGAUUUGAAAAGGUCCUCUUGUUCCUCCGUCUCAUCUAUCUCUAUCCCUGCAGCUCCUGGCUAUCUUCACCCUCUAUGGCUCCUUCAUGACGGCCCCCUAAUCUCUGCCAGUGUGGCUCCAUGGGAAUAAUAAUCCUGUGUUCGAGGCAUCUGGAAGAAGCAGGGGAUCAAAAACCCAUCACCUAUGCAAAAAUGAGUGUUUCAUAUAGCUCCUUUAUAUGGCUGAGAUAUACCACAUCUGAGGCACCAUGAAUAAUGCCAAGGAGCCUAGGAGGGGGAAAAAAAAACGCCACUCCCUCUCUCCAGCUUGUUACCACGCAGCUGUACUCCGCCUGCACAGCGAGGCCCGUCAAGCCAUUAAUGAGUCCCAGCACUGAUAAUGAAGCCACAGAGGUGGUCUGAGCCAGUGUGGCACAGGAGCUGGAGCACGGGGGGAAGGUAGAUUAGGAUAAUUACCUGGCCACGGGGGAAAGAUGAGAAAGAUGUCUCUCUACCUGCAGGCCUCGAUCGACGAAGGAGAAAGUGCAAUAUAAUGAGGUGCGGACACCCUUUCUCUCAGAAAGGUAAGAAAAAUUAGCUCCUAAUGAUCAAAAUGUGAUUUUUAUUGUGACAGUGAUUGUCUGUUUUUGCAGGUGUCCUCCGCAUCCCUUCGCAUGCACGUAUGUAUUUGUUGUUUACGUGGCUGUGCUUUCGGUCUCUCGCACUGUACGUAAGUCCUAAACAUCCACACUCACGGAGACUUUGAAGAGCCUAUGAGGUCAGGUUUUAAAUUAUGGUCUGCACCCACACCAAGCGUUCUCUCCCCACUCCUGUAAAUCCAUUUUCCACACAAUGCAUUUCAAAUCAAAGCAGCGUCACCAUAACACGCCUUAGGAAACAUUAAGCCAUAGUGCAGUACUUUCAUGUAUGAUAGCAUAGCCCCUGUAUGCUUUGAUGUGCUCACUUUUUUUAAUGCUUUAUUAAUAAUAACACACUGGCUCCUUCUCGCACCAACACACCAGCUUCUGGUGCUCCUUUCUCUCCUCCUGAACUACCAUCCCUCACUCCUUCCAUGCCUCAGCUUCCUUCAUCCCUCCCCAGCCCUUGAGUCGUGUCUCGGGAUUGGCCUGUUUGUGUUUGGGAGGGGGGGAUUAGAGGGAAUGACACGGGCCUCGAGAUGAAGAGAGACACAAAGACCUAUCAGAGGGCAGAGAGUACGGAGCGCUGCAUCGCCAUUGGUUGCUGUGGAAAUCAGACACGUCUUCAUUUCUUCCAGCCAUCCUCUCCGAAGUGCCCAGCUUUCAUUUCCACGCCCGGGGAGGGAAGCAGAGAGGGAGGGGGGGGGGGGGUCAGGAUUAGAGUUUCUGUUUGUGCUUUUAAGUGUGUGUGCACGUGUGUGUUUUCUUGAAUGUUGUGCGCAGCAAACAUCUUAGAGAUACAGAGGGAUGAGCGCGCAGACACUAAUAGCACUCACCUCCUCCAAAGCUGGCCAAAAUACAAAUGCUGGAACAGUGUGGUGUUGUUCUAGCUGAAUGGGACGCCUGAUUCAUAGACAUGUAAAACCUGCUUACAAAUGUCUCACUGAUUUCUCUCUGCACCCCAAAGCACACAAUGGCUCCUCAGUAUCUGCUGAUGUUUUCCUUUCUGACAAUUUCAAAGCGAUGUCGGCAAUUUACUGGAUCACUUAUAGCUGCCUCCCCACAUUCACACACGCGUGUGCAGAUGUGCACAAACAUCUGCUGCAUUAAUUUCCUGCUUUUGUGUUUUCUUUGUGUCUGUGUUCCUUUUUGAUGUUUUCCUUCCUCCUUCUGUUAUGGAGCAUCACUGAGUCUUGAUUUUUGUUGUUGUAUUAUAAUGUCAGCCCACAACUUCUGCAGCAGUUUCUCCAGUCAUUUCAAUGCAAUCUGCGGUUGUAAUAAAUAAAUAUAUUAAUAUACUGAAGCAGCUAAUUUCCGUUUCUUUCAAAAUGUACUCCAUGCAGCUACGUUAACCUGCAUGUAUUUAAUUUGUUUAGCAUGUAUGCACACCAAUUAGUCAGUGUUUUUAUCUGACAGCAUUCUGCAGUGGAAAUCCUCGCUAAAGUUCUCAUGUGAUGCCUGUUGAGCUUGUUGUGCACCAGACUGUUGUCAGUAUUUGCCUGCUUGUCAGGAUGCAGCCAGUUGACUCUGGCUGUCUGAGCAGUGAUAUGACUGGGAGCAGUGGGGCUGGGCCCCAGCCGACUCCGCUCUCCUCCUCCUCCUCGCCCCAUAAUAGAUCUGCGUGGUCUGCAGGCCCUCUGGGGGCACCUGGCUCCCCUCCCUGCCAUCUCUGGCCUGGAUCGAUCAGCGAGGCCGCCCCGGCGCAGAGACCAGGGGUCAUCUUCAAAGGCCUCCUGCCCACUUCCUGCCACCUGGUGCUCCAUAUUCGGACAAAGGGUGCGUUUCCUUUCCGUUCCCUCCACCCUCCGAUGCCCUUCUGCGAACAGGUUAAGGACAUGGAGUCGGUACAGCUCCUCCCUGUGAUCUCCUUCAGCCUGCUCCCCGGUCGCCCACACGGGGAGAGAGGGUGAGAGAUCAGUCCCAUCCAAACAACACAAUCACACACCCAUUUCAUGUGGAAAUCUGCUUUUGAUUUAAUUACGGCCAAAGAAUUCACAUCUCUUAUUACGGAGGUGAUUUUGGUUACCUUUACCUUUGGUUCUUAUUUUCAUUACACUUAAAUGUAUAAUCAAGAUUUCUAUAGUGCAUCCAUAAAAUGUUUAAAUUCAGUGACAAAAAAAACACAUCAACUCAGAGAAUUAUUAUUCAUAUAUAGGAUGUAUUUUAAUGACAUUCAUAUCAUGAUACAGUACAAUGAAAAAAAAAGUUAAAGAAGGUAAUGGUUUAUAAUGAUGCAUUAACUUUCUGGCUCUCACUUGAAACAUGUUUCAUUAUUAACUGAUCAACAGAUCUGCUACGGUACGAAUAUCUCCAUCUCUCUCUCUCCCUGUUGGUCAAGUCACAAAUGGCAGGGCUAUCGAACACACAUUUUAUCUCCAUGAGGGCUGUCGGACAAUUAGCUCCAAGAAUACAUAUUAAUCAAUCGAGCUUUUUUUGAAUCUGUUUAUUAAGCCCAGCCAUUUUUUUCCCCCUCCAAUACAUUAGCAGAUCUCAGUAUGUCCGCUCCUCUUGUGAACAGGGAUGAGAAGGAGAUGGAGGGAGAGGAAAUAAAGGUCUGAUGAGUUUGGCAAAGAGAGGAUGGAGGCUGAGACAGAUGGCAUGAAGUCUGCAGCACUCUGGCGUGGCUCGCCUGGUGCUAAAAUCCUCCUCUCUCACAUUCCAACAAAUCCUACCAGGAGGCUGGGGAGUCUGUCACACCACUCCAAGGAUCCACACGGCUCUCUUCAACCCCCCCUCCUCUCCUCUAUCCUCCCCCUCCUCUGCCGCCCCGGCCCAACCGAGCCUCUGACCACUCUGCAUCAUAUUUUAUCCUCACAUAUGUAUACAUUCACACAUUAACAUGUAUAGAGGUCGGCCAUUACAGGCCUGCUAUACGAUAAGAAGCACCAGGGGGGCGCAGAUAUGACGAAACGCCGUCUGACUGCUCUUAUGGAAAAGGGGCUUAAUUGAGAGAGGUGGCCUUUACUGUCACUCCAGUGUAAGAAAUCUUAUUCAGUAAACACUGGGCCAAAUCAUGUGGGACUGUACAAUCCAUUUAUAUCAGAGGAAGAAGACAUAAGAAGCUUUUUGAUUAGUUUCACCACAGCCCGCAUCAGCCCAACAGAAAGCCCAAUCUCAAUCCAAACAUGCACUGCUCAGACCCGUGUUGCAAGGCUCCCUGUGGGCCUUACAGCCCAAAACGGACAGUAAGUGUAACCGUGAUUACACAUAGCACAAGACCAACAACUGGAUCACGGGCUCCACAUGACAUCUUCAUCUCCAAACACUGUACUAUUAGAUGUCCUUUGAAUCUCUGAAGCAUGCUUUCUUGAAGCGGUUCAUCUAAUAAGAACAGUCUAAUUUAUUUUACACUAUGCUCUCUCCCCAUGUCUCUCUCUCUCUCGCUGUCUUUCUGCCCGCCUUCUGUUUGUUCUAAUGAAUGACUUCUGAGAUGAGGUGCCGCUGUGAGGAGGUCACGGCGGGGGCCUCAGAACCACAUUACUGUUAAUGAUAAUAAAAAGAACAAUCUGUGCUAAA
Sebastes umbrosus (honeycomb rockfish) is the source of this 4690-nucleotide RNA transcript. It is a transcript of the gene named zic family member 6, with no coding region annotated. The record is from RefSeq and is a predicted model, not a curated record. NCBI's taxonomy places the organism in Eukaryota, Metazoa, Chordata, Actinopteri, Perciformes, Sebastidae. The transcript is spliced from 5 exons.